RNAcentral lists this ribosomal RNA (253 nucleotides) under uncultured bacterium. Its description in RNAcentral is "partial 16S ribosomal RNA". It matches the Rfam family "Bacterial small subunit ribosomal RNA", at positions 524 to 776 of the family's 1533-position model. The record is from RNAcentral.
UACGGAGGAUGCAAGCGUUAUCCGGAUUUAUUGGGCGUAAAGCGUCCGCAGGGGGCUAUACAAGUCUGCUGUUAAAGCGUGGGGCUUAACUCCAUACAGGCAGUGGAAACUGUAAAGCUAGAGUCUGGUAGGGGUCACGGGAAUUCCCAGUGUAGCGGUGAAAUGCGUAGAUAUUGGGAAGAACACCAGCGGCGAAAGCGCGUGGCUGGGCCGGAACUGACACUCAUGGACGAAAGCUAGGGGAGCGAAAGGG